AUUGAACGCUGGCGGCAGGCCUAACACAUGCAAGUCGAGCGGAAGAAGGGAGCUUGCUCCUGGAUUCAGCGGCGGACGGGUGAGUAAUGCCUAUGAAUCUGCCUGGUAGUGGGGGAUAACGUCCGGAAACGGGCGCUAAUACCGCAUACGUCCUGAGGGAGAAAGUGGGGGAUCUUCGGACCUCACGCUAUCAGAUGAGCCUAGGUCGGAUUAGCUAGUUGGUGGGGUAAAGGCCUACCAAGGCGACGAUCCGUAACUGGUCUGAGAGGAUGAUCAGUCACACUGGAACUGAGACACGGUCCAGACUCCUACGAGAGGCAGCAGUGGGGAAUAUUGGACAAUGGGCGAAAGCCUGAUCCAGCCAUGCCGCGUGUGUGAAGAAGGUCUUCGGAUUGUAAAGCACUUUAAGUUGGGAGGAAGGGCAGUAAGUUAAUACCUUGCUGUUUUGACGUUACCAACAGAAUAAGCACCGGCUAACUUCGUG
RNAcentral lists this ribosomal RNA (484 nucleotides) under uncultured bacterium. Its description in RNAcentral is "partial 16S ribosomal RNA". It matches the Rfam family "Bacterial small subunit ribosomal RNA", at positions 30 to 507 of the family's 1533-position model. The record is from RNAcentral.